UACGAAGGGGGCUAGCGUUGCUCGGAAUCACUGGGCGUAAAGCGCACGUAGGCGGAUUGCUAAGUCAGGGGUGAAAUCCUGGAGCUCAACUCCAGAACUGCCUUUGAUACUGGCGAUCUUGAGUUCCGGGAGAGGUGAGUGGAACUGCGAGUGUAGAGGUGAAAUUCGUAGAUAUUCGCAAGAACACCAGUGGCGAAGGCGGACUCACUGGCCCGGUACUGACGCUGAGGUGCGAAAGCGUGGGGAGCAAC
This 251-nucleotide ribosomal RNA is filed under the name uncultured bacterium. RNAcentral's name for it is "partial 16S ribosomal RNA". It matches the Rfam family "Bacterial small subunit ribosomal RNA", at positions 524 to 772 of the family's 1533-position model. The record is from RNAcentral.